CAUCUCCACUUGCUCUGAGAAGUUCUGUUCUCUUGUUUUGUGUUUACAGUGUGAAGCUAAUCAACCAUCUCGUGAAGACUUUGAAUAUGAACCCACCAAAUCCAUCCGGCUGUGAAGAGAGAGAUGAUGUGAACUGCGGACGGGAGCGGAUGACGACCACGAGCUGAACAAAAACUGCUCGUGGACUUGAGAUUUACAGACCGAAAGAGAGCAAGAGACAUGAGGAGGAAAAUGCCAUGAAAAAGGGAGUCAAUGAAGGGUGAAAAAGUUCUAGUUCGCAAUAAGAGAAAAGCUCCCAUAAUGACAUUCUCAGACAGGAAUAUGGCUGUGCGCGGAGGAGCCAUCGCUUUUGCCAGAUUUGCACUCGGCUUGUCCCGUUUAUCAGCAGAUUUAUAGAUGGUGUGGAAAAGCCCCCUCAUUCCUAAGCAGAAGUCUGGCCAAUCACCAUAAUACUUUCAUCUCAUGGUGUCUGCUGCCACAGAUGCCCACCCGCUGCGUAGACAAGCACAUGCGCUCGUGUUAAUAUUGAGCAGAAGGAAAAUGCCAGUCAAUGUGGGCACUGAAUAUUACUUUCAGCAUGCACUAACAACCAGGAUCUCUCGCUCCGUUUCGAGGCCUUCAUUUGCCCGUGUUUAUAUUGCAUGGUCAGCAUUAACAUUAAGAAACGUCUGCUUGUUUGGGUGUCUCAAAGGAAGGCAGUUUAAGCAAUUUUAGUUUUGCAAACUGAGACGUAAGAUCAGCGUUCGGAGAUUUAUGUUAUUUGCAUAACUAUCGAGUUAUUUUUCCUUUUGGAUGGGAUGUUUGAAUGACAGACAGUUUUUGGAGCUUUAAACUGUAGAUUGCAUUAUCGCUGCUGGCUCAAGCGUUUCUGAUUCUGUGAAACCCUACUCCGCCUCCCUUUUUUCCCGAACUCUCUCUCUAUCGCACAAAGACAAAGAGCGAUAUCCUCGUCUGGAAUAUCCUUCAUUGGUCUGAUGAGAAUCCAACCGACAAGAUCCGUAAAGAGUCAGAGGUCAUUGUCUCACGCAGGGAGAAAUCCAAACAACUGCUCUGUUAGAAAGAGGGGGAACCAGCGGACAUGCUCACAGUGUCCACAACAACGCCUGAAUCUGACGUUUUCAUGGUUUACAUCACCGACAGCUCGUUUUUCUGAAAACAUGACUUUUUAAAUUGCCAUAUAUGGAUGUGUGCAAUACAGAACAGUCGUACUACAACAAGAUAUGUCACAGUUUGGCCAGAAGCGUACAGUAAUGUUCUUACGUUACUGUGGUAGUCAAGCCUCAGUUAUUAAAUGUGUGGUGAUCACAUUAAAAGAAAUAUAUUAUAAGAUCUAGCCAAAUAUAUAAGUAAGCCUGGUUCACAGAUGUAAUAACGGCAUCUGGCUGCAGCAGGAAUGAGUCCUAUAAGCCAUAAAUAAGUCUGAGCUUCCAGUUCCAACAUCCUGAAGUCAAUGGGUUUGUUUUUUUAAUGGUUUAAGGUUAAAUGCUUGAAAUAAUAUCCGUGACUAACACAAGCACAAGAUAUUUUCA
Pimephales promelas (fathead minnow) is the source of this 1529-nucleotide non-coding RNA. The record is from RefSeq and is a predicted model, not a curated record. NCBI's taxonomy places the organism in Eukaryota, Metazoa, Chordata, Actinopteri, Cypriniformes, Leuciscidae.